CGGCAUCGUGGAUUCGGCGUGAUUGACGGCGGUUCAUGGAUUCAGAUCGUGGGCUCGUGGAUUCGAGUGGCGUUCGUGGAUUCGGACGUGAGGGCGUGGACAACCCGGAGGAUUGUGCGAGAUUCAUAGGAGGUUAAGAGAGGUCGAGUCCGUAGAGUCGGUAAUCACCUUGUAAUCUUUUCUCCUAGUGAAUUAUUUUUUUCGCGUAUUGGUCCCGUGGGU
This 222-nucleotide long non-coding RNA is filed under the name Ananas comosus (pineapple). RNAcentral's name for it is "long non-coding RNA (ACOM_LNC027935)". The record is from RNAcentral. Lineage: Eukaryota; Viridiplantae; Streptophyta; Magnoliopsida; Poales; Bromeliaceae.